This 443-nucleotide ribosomal RNA is filed under the name uncultured bacterium. RNAcentral's name for it is "partial 16S ribosomal RNA". It matches the Rfam family "Bacterial small subunit ribosomal RNA", at positions 338 to 795 of the family's 1533-position model. The record is from RNAcentral.
CCUACGGGAGGCAGCAGUGGGGAAUAUUGGGCAAUGGGCGCAAGCCUGACCCAGCAACGCCGCGUGAAGGAAGAAGGCUUUCGGGUUGUAAACUUCUUUUCUCAGGGACGAAACAAGUGACGGUACCUUACGAAUAAGCCCCGGCUAACUACGUGCCAGCAGCCGCGGUAAUACGUAGGUGGCAAGCGUUAUCCGGAUUUAUUGGGUGUAAAGGGAGUGUAGGCGGGAAUGCAAGUCUGAUGUGAAAUACAUGGGCUCAACCUAUAGCUUGCAUGUGAAACUGUAUUGCUUGAGUGCUGGAGAGGCAAGCGGAAUUCCGAGUGUAGCGGUGAAAUGCGUAGAUAUAAGGAGGAACACCAGUGGCGAAGGCGGAUUGCUGGACAGUAACUGACGCUGAGGCGCGAAAGCGUGGGGAGCAAACAGGAUUAGAUACCCCUGUAGUC